Molecule: ribosomal RNA, 381 nt
Filed under: uncultured archaeon
Lineage: Archaea
Description: bacterial SSU rRNA
Rfam family: Archaeal small subunit ribosomal RNA
Source: RNAcentral
UAAUACUAGCGGUCCAAGUCGCAGCCAUUUUUAUUGGGUCUAAAACAUCCGUAGCUUGUUUGGUAGGUUUCUUGUGAAAUUUUGCAUCUUAAAUGUAGAGCGCGCAAGAAAUACUGCCAAGCUAGAGACUGGAAGACGUGAGAAGUAUGUUCAAAGUAGCGGUAAAAUGUGUUAAUCUUGAGCAGACUAACAAUAGCGAAGGCAUCUCACGAGGACAGUUCUGACAGUAAGGGAUGAAGGCUAGGGGCGCAAAACGGAUUAGAUACCCGUGUAGUCCUAGCAGUAAACACUGCACACUAAACAUUAGUACCUCCUCGAGAGGUAUUGGUGCUGAAGGGAAGCUGAAGAGUGUGCUACCUGGGAAGUAUAGUCGCAAGGCCG